GUAAUCACUUGUCUUCUAAAUAAAGACUCGUAUGAACGGCUAAAUGAGGACAAACCUGUCUCCUAUGACUAAUCAGUGAAACUGAUCUUCCAGUACAAAAGCUGGAAUAUACCCAUAAGACGAGAAGACCCUGUGGAGCUUAUAAACCAAAUACUAACCACCCAAUCUAGUACAAGGUUUUAAGUUGGGGCGACUUUGGAACAAAACACAACUUCCAAGCACAGAGCUACCCCCUCUAUUCAAGGCCAACAAGCCUAAAAACUAAAAAUGACCCAGUCAUACUGAUCAACGAACCAAGUUACCCCAGGGAUAACAGCGCCAUCUUCUUCAAGAGUCCAUAUCGACAAGAAGGUUUACGACCUCGAUGUUGGAUCAGGACACCCAAAUGGUGCAGCCGCUAUUAAAGGUUCGUUUGUUCAACGAUUAACAGU
RNAcentral lists this ribosomal RNA (431 nucleotides) under Dravidoseps goaensis. Its description in RNAcentral is "Riopa goaensis partial 16S ribosomal RNA". It matches the Rfam family "Bacterial large subunit ribosomal RNA", at positions 1961 to 2594 of the family's 2925-position model. Lineage: Eukaryota; Metazoa; Chordata; Lepidosauria; Squamata; Scincidae. The record is from RNAcentral.